GCGCGGGUGAUGGAAUCGGUAGACAUGAGAGACUUAAAAUCUCUUGGCCGCAAGGCCGUGCGGGUUCAAGUCCCGCUCUGCGCACCA
RNAcentral lists this transfer RNA (87 nucleotides) under Candidatus Saccharimonadota bacterium. Its description in RNAcentral is "tRNA-Leu". It matches the Rfam family "tRNA". Rfam says of the family: Transfer RNA (tRNA) molecules are approximately 80 nucleotides in length. Lineage: Bacteria; Candidatus Saccharimonadota. The record is from RNAcentral.